GGGUCAGUAGGUUGGUCGUGCCACCGGUACGUAGUGGUCUCACUGAUUCCUCCUUCCUGAAGAACCGUAAUGCCAUUAAUUUGGUGUUGCGGGGAAACAGGACUGUUACUUUGAAAAAAUCAGAGUGUUUAAAGCAAGCUAACGCUUGAAUACAUUAGCAUGGAAUAAUGAAAUAGGACGAUCGAUCCUAUUUUGUUGGUUUCUAGGAUUGACGUA
RNAcentral lists this ribosomal RNA (216 nucleotides) under Glomeromycotina sp. Its description in RNAcentral is "partial small subunit ribosomal RNA". The stretch from base 40 to 216 matches the Rfam family "Eukaryotic small subunit ribosomal RNA", at positions 686 to 864 of the family's 1831-position model. The record is from RNAcentral. Lineage: Eukaryota; Fungi; Glomeromycota.